Silurus meridionalis is the source of this 776-nucleotide long non-coding RNA. RefSeq lists it as uncharacterized. The record is from RefSeq and is a predicted model, not a curated record. The transcript is spliced from 3 exons. NCBI's taxonomy places the organism in Eukaryota, Metazoa, Chordata, Actinopteri, Siluriformes, Siluridae.
CAGGAAACGACGGCCUACGUUCAUUACUUUAAUGAAGGACAGAUCUCUGGAAUGGAUAACAGAGGCUCAGAAAUCGGCAUACACUAUAAAAGAACGUGUUUCAGGAUUGAAAACGUCUUUAAAGGUGUUUCACUUUGACUGAUUACUGGUUCUGAGAUGAAGAAAUAUGAAUCGAGGAUUCAAAGAGGGUUUUCCUCUAAGCUGGAGCUGUGGCUGUGAUCUGGCAGUCAAACUCCGAUGAGUUCACGGCUGUCCUUCUACUGUGGUAUUUAGGCCAGACUACAGUGGUGCAUGUGGGAUGUCAGUUUAUGAGAAGGACAGGCAGCUGACCUAUGCAGAGCCUUUUGUGUAAGCAGUUAUAAUAAGUGGUAAGUAUUUUCUUGGCAAGUCUUUGUGUUUAGGAGAAAAGCUGGCCAAUAUUAACUCAGCAAGAAUAAAAGGACAACCGCAUUACUGCCUUGAAGCUCCAGGUUCUCCAGUUUGAUCAUGAACACAAGAUCUUAAUGUGUUGCUCUAAAACACCUCUGGUUUAAUCACACCCUACACACACAUGCUGGUGGGUGGAUUGACUAUUCUACCAUGUCCUGUGAUUGGCAUCCUAUCCACAGAGUAUUGAUCAACUCUGGUCAUUUAAAUGGAUGAAUGUUUAGAAUGACUCUGAGCUUGAUCAUCUUAAGGAUUAAACUGUACACCAACCUCUGCACCUGUCACUGGAAGGAUGCAUUUAAACAUACAUAUUUUUGUUUAUUCUUCCCUAAGGAGAGAAAACAGAAAAA